UCUUUGAUAGAGAAAGAUAGUCUUAUUGCGAUUCCUAUAAGAGGAAAGAGAAAAUAGUGCAAUGCUUUGUCUUUAUCACCGACCGGGUUUUUUUUCAUGGUCGGGUUAUGGCAGCUUAGGAAGGAGGGUGAUGGCGAUAUACAGAAAUUUAUAAGAGUGAAAGAGACAAAAUCCCGCAAGAUGCCAUACAUUAAACUGUCAAUCAUAUUGUCAAGAGUGCUAGUAAACAACGUGGUUUUCUUAUUGUAGAAGUUUUAUAAAGUGAAUGAUUGUGUUUAUUAAGUAUUUAAUGGAGGUGUAAGAAGUUUUUACGUACAAUUAACAUGGUGGGGUGUUCAGUGGUUGCCUACAAAAGCAAUAACUUGCGAAAAUAAGCGGGUGUAACAUUUCAUGCCUCUCCGACGGAGGAUGAAAUUGUUAAAGAAUGGAUUGCGGGAACUGGAAAAUCAAAUUGGAUGCCUCACAAAUACUCGCGUAUUUGUUCCAAACAUUUUGAACAACAUUGUGUCCGCAAACUGGGCAAACGAACUUUCAUCGAAAAGUUUUCUUUUCCAACCUUGUUCAUACACGAGAGGAGAGAGAAAAUUCUUUUCUUCAUCAUGUCAUGGAAAUCGUCCAUUCGUGCACGUCGUCGUCGUGGCAGUCUCAACAGCAUUCUGAAGCUAUUAUUGAACUUCAUAUAAUUGAUCCACAGGUUACAAGUGUAUGUGUAAAUAAAGUUUUCUUGACCCCCACAAUAUGUACAACGCGCAACACGUAAGAUUUUUUAUUUAAACAUAAAUAUUCGGUUUUAAGUAACAGUUUUAAUGUA
Long non-coding RNA from Cydia pomonella (codling moth), 811 nucleotides. RefSeq lists it as uncharacterized. The transcript is spliced from 3 exons. Lineage: Eukaryota; Metazoa; Arthropoda; Insecta; Lepidoptera; Tortricidae. The record is from RefSeq and is a predicted model, not a curated record.